This is a long non-coding RNA of Cyprinodon tularosa, 272 nucleotides long. RefSeq lists it as uncharacterized. Lineage: Eukaryota; Metazoa; Chordata; Actinopteri; Cyprinodontiformes; Cyprinodontidae. The record is from RefSeq and is a predicted model, not a curated record. The transcript has 2 exons.
GACCUGGAAGCAAAACAACAGAGCCACCGAUGGAAAAAGCUCCACAGCCUGCGGCCGAAACAACUGAUAAGGAUGGAUUAACCUACAAGGGGCACAGAGACUAACUUUGCUCCUAAACUUCAGAAGGAGGGAUGGUUUGCAGCUGCUGAGAUGCGAACAUUAAGGAAAUGACUGGAUGCCCACUGCUUCAGAUGAGAAAAGAACACUGGCAGUGAUGGGUUGAUGGAAGGUCAUGGGAUCAUCGGACAAGACGGAUGAAGAAAAAAAAAAAA